AGUUGCAAAAUGGCAGUUGUCUUGCUAGCUUGAAGUUCAUGUUCUUCUCUAGCCAAUAGAGAAGAGCAGGGGGCUGGUCCACUGUCCCUCAGACCUUGUGGGGGGCCGGACUAUAUUUGGGGGAGGGGAAUGAAUGAAUUCCUAUGCCUCACAAAUAACCCAGAGAUGCAUUUUAAAUAAAAGCAUGCAUUCUACUCGCUGAUUCCAGGACACGCUGAUUCCAGGACCGUCUGUGGGCCGGAUUUAGAAGGCGAUUGAGCUGGAUCCAGCCCUGGGCCUCAGUUUGCCUACCCAUGAUCUAAUGGGCGAAUCAACUAAUCCAGUGCCUCUUGAUUAAGUCAAGAAGUAUUUGGCACUGUUGCUCCUGAAGCACACAGACGUUUUCCUCCCCAGACAAGCUAAGAAAAUCCCAGAAAAAAGAAGUGCCGGACUCAUUCUCAAUUUUCCACUUCCGUAGGUUAAUGCACACAAUAAUGAGUAUGAUGACAGCAUGCUAGAUUACUUUUGAAGCAACUCUUUGAUGCCACUUUCUAGGGAAAUUAUGGGUUUCUAACCCAGAAGAUGCCUGCUGUAGUUUUCACAGGCGUUAUUAGAAGCAAACUAACAAGCGUGGUGCUGGAAUCUUUAUGCUUCCCGAAAGGCUUUGGAAAUCUCGCUGCUCUUGAUAAAGUGGAACAGUUGCAAAUUGGUCUGCAAGGGCCCCUGCCGUAUCCUGGUUGGUAAUAAAUGUGCCUUGUGACCAUAUGCAAUGCUUGAGCAAGUCUGACUGCGUGGGAUACUUGUACCCCGUACCAACAGCUAGAAUGACUUCUGUUGCACUGGGAUACCCUGGUCAUAUGCUAGAUGGUAAGAAAGAUUUCCACACACUGCAAUUUGUAUGUGUGGUAGCACCUGUGGGAGGGGGAUAUGGAUCUCCUAUUCUAGGAAUUAACACAUGAACGUGCUUCAUGAAUGUUUGAAUGUGUGUGCUGUGGGUGGAGGGCAGAGCAUAAAGCAGUGGUUCCCAAUUAAUGGUCUGUAGACCUCAGGUGCGUCCACAUAACACACCCAGGGGGGUCUGUGGCACCACUCACAUAACAAAAAGUUUCAUAGAGACAGCCAAAUUUUCAAAAGUAGAAAAACAGGGAGUCUGCAGUGCUUAGCUAAUGGGGAACCACUGGCAUAAAGGACUUAAAUGACUGGAACACAUCACUUGUUUUCAACGUACUUUUUUGUUAUUUUGUUCAUGUGAAUCCCUAGCCGGAAUUAAGAUUGCCGGAAGAAAUAUCAACAACCUCAGAUAUGCAGAUGACACAACCUUGAUGGCAGAAAGUGAGGAGGAAUUAAAGAACCUUUUAUUGAGGGUGAAAGAGGAAAGCACAAAAUAUGGUCUGAAGCUCAACAUCAAAAAAAGGAAGAUCAUGGCCACUGGUCCCAUCACCUCCUGGCAAAUAGAUGGGGAAGAAAUGGAGGCAGUGAGAGAUUUUACUUUCUUGGGCUCCAUGAUCACUGCAGAUGGUGACAGCAGCCACAAAAUUAAAAGACGCUUGCUUCUUGAGAGAAAAGCAAUGACAAACCUAGACAGCAUCUUAAAAAGCAGAGACAUCACCUUGCCAACAAAGGUCCGUAUAGUAAAAGCUAUGGUUUUCCCAGUAGUGAUGUAUGGAAGUGAGAGCUGGACCAUAAAGAAGGCUGAUUGCCGAAGAAUUGAUGCUUUUGAAUUAUGGUGCUGGAGGAGACUCUUGAGAGUCCCAUGGACUGCAAGAAGAUCAAACGUAUCCAUUCUUAAGGAAAUCAGCCCUGAGUGCUCACUGGAAGGACAGAUCCUGAAGCUGAGGCUCCAAUACUUUGGCCACCUCAUGAGAAGAGAAGACUCCCUGGAAAAGACCCUGAUGUUGGGAAAGAUGGAGGGCACAAGGAGAAGGGGACGACAGAGGAUGAGAUGGUUGGACAGUGUUCUCAAAGCUACCAGCAUGAGUUUGACCAAACUGCGGGAGGCAGUGGAAGACAGAAGUGCCUGGCAUGCUCUGGUCCAUGGGGUUACGAAGAUUCGGACAGGACUAAACAACUAAACAACAACAAAUGUUUAUUUGUAAACCACUUUUAAGACUAUUCCACAGUAAAACUUUGAAACUCAUUUAUUUCUAUGCAACGUCCAGACCAGGGAUUCCAUUCAACAACUCUAACACCUAUCACCAUCACCACUACCAGCAGCAACAGCCCCCCAAAAGCAGACACUAGGGAAACAGAAAUGAAAGCAGAAGGAAAUGGAAGCAUGAGUACACAGAAGAAUAUGUGAUUAUUUCAUUUACUGUAGUUGCACAUGCCCCAUCCCCCACAGCUGAGUGUGUGCUUAUAUGAAUCUCAGUGUUGACUGAGUGUGGCAGCUAUGUAUGAUUCAGCCUAAGACUUGUGCGACUCACCACACUUAAAUCAAGUGCCCUACCUUUACCAGACUUCCCAGAACAAUAUAAAGGUAGCUUGUCUUCCUAGAAAUACAGCUAUUGGAGAGACUAUAGCAAUGAAUGGCUUUAAGAGACAAUGUUCCAAGGACCUUGAUCCACUGGUAUUCUGAGCCAGUCCAUCCUUAAGUGCAUCAUUCAUUUACCUGCUGUUCUCUGUUCUCAUAAGACAUGAUACAUUGUGCAAGGCUAUAAGACAUUGCUACAGUAAUUUUGACAAAUAUUACUGAAAUAAAUUCUCCAGAAGAAAACCUCCAGUUUAGAGAAAUUAUCAUCUACUGUAUUGCUUUAUAAUUUUUUUAAACUACUAGGAUUGAAGUCCAUACUUAAAUAAGCCCUAAAUCUAUGGUGGGGGAGGGAGGACUGCUUCUUACUAGUUCUGGUCUGAUGAAAUUGAUUUUAAAAUGAUAAAAUAGCCACUUACAGAAUCCAUUGCUUAUGAAUGAAUUGCUUCACUCCUGUAUUGGGGAACUUUUUGAACAUUGAGACAAAGCUAAGGAGCUUGUUCUCCAGAGGGCAGAUUUCUAUGGGUCAGAAGGCAUAGUGAAGAGCCAGUACCUCUACCAUCACUAUUUCUGAUAGAAUUACACCAGCUGUGAAGCUUUAAACUACAAUAUUGUAAUAGCUGGAGCUUUUCGUUGGCCACUGUGAGAACAAGAUGGUGGAGCAGAUGGGCCUUGGGUCCGAUCCAGCAGGGAUUUUCUUACUUUCUUAUUCUGAGGCUGGGGCAAAGGCAGGAGGCAGAGCCUCUAUAUUUACAUUAAUGUACACUGAGAAGGUAUUUUGAAAAAGCUUCCCCUGCUCUUCCAUGCUAACAGGCGGGAUUAAAUAAAGCAGAAUGUGUAGAGAUAGAUGUCGAACCGAAAGUGUAGUUGUCUCAUGCACUCGUGUAUAAAUAAUUAGUUUAUAAAUGCACAACGGGAACAGCAAUAACCUGCUUGUAAAUAAAGAUGUCAUUGUUAGCUAAAGCAGGGGUCAGAAAACUUUUUCAGCAGGGGGCCAGUCCACUGUCCUUCAGACCUUGUGGGGGGCUGGACUAUAUUUUUUGGGGGGAAAUGAACGAAUUCCUAUGCCCCACAAAUAACCCAGAGAUGCAUUUUAAAUAAAAGGAAACAUUCUACUCAUGUAAAAACUCAUUGAUUCCCAGACUGUCCGCAGGCCAGAUUUAGAAGGCGAUUGGGCCAGAUCCAGCCCCCGGGCCUUAGUUUGCCUACCCAUGAGCUAGAGCAAUGCACUAUAUUCUAUGUAGAGUUUGUAAUGUGGAAGCAGAACUUCAUCAGCUCUUUCGAGUUGCAUUUUUCCUCUGAUACAUCCUUCCUCUGUUUUAGCAAUUUUGCCUCCAAAAAAACCUCAGUCUAUGGCUCCAUUGUCUGCAAAUGUCACCUAGUCAGACAUUAAAACUGCUUUAUUAGCUUGACUUUCAGAAAACAAAAAUGACACAUUCGGAAUUUCUUUUCCAUUAAAAAUAAACCACAAAUGUUUCUGCUCAGACCUAAGCCCCAAUAAGUUCUAUGGAACUUAUUCCCAGGUCAAUAUGUAAAAAGGAUUCCAGCCUUAGUGUAUUGAUUUUGAUGCUAAGAUUUUUACAGACAUAAAAUAACCACACCGUUAAGAAUUUUAAAAAUUGUCAUAACAAACACUUGUCCAAAGCAGAAUGCUGAGAUAUUGGAUUAAAGUCUUUUUCAUAAGGAUUCUUCUGCAUUGUGUUUCCAGCUGACAGCAAACCUGACCUACAAUGAUGUGUUGAUCUGGAAGCAUAACUGCAAACAGAUUCCCCAAGGAGACGAGGAGGCACUUUUGUUUGAUAGAGGAGAAAAAGCUCAAGCUGACAUUGUCGGCAUUUCACUUUGUUAUUUCAGAAUGCGAUAAGCUCAUUCAUGGAAGGAGACACAAAUCACUGGAACUUUUUCUUCUUCUUUUUACUUCUCAUAUUAGCUUUAACAAAGUUUGCCAGGGGAAAGAAAAAAGAAAUGUCAAAGGAGAGGAAAGACUUGUCAUGAUGCACAUACUGCAGCAGAAAAUAGUCCUGUGUCAAUGGUCCAUCGCUUGGGUCCUCUUUUUGCUCCAUUCACAGAAGGAGCUUCCAUUUACAGAAGAGACAUGGCUCUCAUGGAAGGAUGAGUGGAAACAUAAGGUCCAAGCCAACAUGUCUAGCACUUCCAG
Molecule: long non-coding RNA, 4604 nt
Filed under: Podarcis lilfordi (Lilford's wall lizard)
Lineage: Eukaryota; Metazoa; Chordata; Lepidosauria; Squamata; Lacertidae
Source: RNAcentral